RNAcentral lists this ribosomal RNA (253 nucleotides) under uncultured bacterium. Its description in RNAcentral is "partial 16S ribosomal RNA". It matches the Rfam family "Bacterial small subunit ribosomal RNA", at positions 524 to 776 of the family's 1533-position model. The record is from RNAcentral.
UACGUAGGGUGCAAGCGUUAAUCGGAAUUACUGGGCGUAAAGCGUGCGCAGGCGGUUUUGUAAGUCUGUCGUGAAAGCCCCGGGCUCAACCUGGGAAUUGCGAUGGAGACUGCAAGGCUUGAAUCUGGCAGAGGGGGGUAGAAUUCCACGUGUAGCAGUGAAAUGCGUAGAGAUGUGGAGGAAUACCGAUGGCGAAGGCAGCCCCCUGGGCCAAUACUGACGCUCAUGCACGAAAGCGUGGGGAGCAAACAGG